UACCGGACAGGGGAGUUGACUGGGAUUAAUCACCAAUACAUGGUACCGAGUUUAGAAAUCACCGGUACAUGGUAGCUCCUAUCUUAAUGACCAAUACAUGGUAAAAAUAUCUAGGCAGGACCGUUUUGCCCUUAUAUUUAAACGACGUAGUUUUGAUUCAUGUCCCCCAAACCCAUUUUAUGGUCUUCUCUUCCUCCUCUCGAAUGAUAUCUCCGUUUCCUCUGUUUAGGGUUUGCCCCUCCCUUGCUUUUCCUCCAUGCUCCCCAUCCUUGCGAGACUUGCCUCAUACCCCGACGUCGUAUCAUAUCUCCAACUCCACCUGCUAAUCGGUUCCCUCACCCUCAUACCUCGAAGCAAAUCGCAUACGCCUACGACAAUUUCCCCUAAUUUGUUUCUGGUGAUUGGAGUCGGAGAAGACUGCGCCCUCCAUCAUUAUAUGGCUCAUUCAUCAUCAGAGUCAAAAUUCAGGGAAUAAUGAAGGACCAGCAUCUACACCCUUUGAUCCUCCCUUGGUAUGAAUGUUAUUUAUUUUUGGGCUUUGGAAAGGAUUGCAUAGUUUCAUAUUCUUGCAUCUGAAAUGUUUAAUGUGAUGAAUCUUGCUUUUACUUUUCCAAUUAUGAGGUAUUUCUUUUGAGAUUGCAGUCUAUGAUUGUCGGAAUUGGAAGUUCACGUAUUGAAUUCACUGAAUAUUGAAUUGCUACUAUUGAAAUAUGCUGAAACUGUGAAUCAGGGCAGUGGAACUAUGAAAAAGUUCACGAAUUUAAUGUUCUUUUGUUGUAAAUCAUCUGGUUUACUUAAAAAGUGGACCAACCUGUUGGGAUAUGUGAUUUUCAUUGCCGUAUCUACAGAUGUUGUUUUAAUGAAUUUUCAUUUAACCGAAAAGUAUCUACAAAUAUUGUUGUUUGGAAUUACGUUCUGUUGCUUGGCCUACUACCAAAGUUAUUGUGGACUCUUCACCCUGGUUUGACUAAUCGGGCCACUUUUCCAACGGAGUUCAUCGUGUUUGACGUUGCCUGGAAAUCUCACGCGAUGAAGCUCUUCCUUCCAAAUUCCAGCUGCUUGGAGUGGUAGAUGAAAUGAAUCGCUUGCAACCAUGUCGUACGCGCGAUAAAGGGUUACCAAUACAAUAUAUAACAUGCCGCCUUCUUCUGACAUGGUACCAAACGUUAACGAGAUCCAAUUUGGUUGCGAUCUACUUGAUAUAGCUCCCUCUUCUUCCUCACCCAUGCCGCCAUUUCUGCCUCAUGCUACAAAGCGACUAGUCGGGCGCCCGAAGAAAAAAGAGGAUUGAGUCGCAAUUUCAAGAUAAGCAAACUGUUUUUUGCUACCGUUUUUGCGAGCUCGGACGCAAUCGAGGCACGUGCAAGUCUGCCUUGCCUGGGUGAGCAUGGGAGCAAUAGCUUGCUCAAAUGACUCAAACAAUGUUUUAUUGAUUUCCAUGCUACUUUGGUUUAAUCUUUCGCUUUAUUCAUGAUAUGCACUCUAAGCGUUACUUUGUAUUUGAAGUUAAAUUUAACUAGUACUAUUAUGUGUAUCGUUAUUUCAUACUUUUGCUUUUGUUGAAUGUAAUGAAUUGGGACCUAUUCAUAUUAUAA
This is an RNA transcript of Rhododendron vialii, 1595 nucleotides long. RefSeq lists it as uncharacterized. NCBI's taxonomy places the organism in Eukaryota, Viridiplantae, Streptophyta, Magnoliopsida, Ericales, Ericaceae. The record is from RefSeq and is a predicted model, not a curated record. The transcript has 3 exons.